This is a long non-coding RNA of Gallus gallus (chicken), 1856 nucleotides long. The record is from Ensembl. Lineage: Eukaryota; Metazoa; Chordata; Aves; Galliformes; Phasianidae.
GGCAACAUAAUCACCUGAGAUCACAACAGUGGUCUUGGAAAGGAACUCAGACCUGGAGUCAUCAGCCCACAAAGUGAAGAUCCAGUUCAAGACUGUAUCUAAAGAAUCUGAAGGUGCACAAGUACAUGGGACCCAUCCACAGGUACAUGAGAUCCAUCCACAGGUUCUAAGGGAACUGGUGCAUGAAGUUAUCAAGCUGCUAUCUAUUGUUCUCACUGAUUAGAAAACAGGGAAAAUGACCCUCACUUUCAAGAAGGAAAAAGAAGAAGAUCCAGGGAACUGCAGGCUAGUCUCACUUCUGUGCCUGGUGAGAUCAUGGAGCAGAUCCUCCUGAAGGCCCUACUAAGGCACAUAGAAAAUAAAGACAAGGUGAUUGGUGGUAACCAACGUGGCUUCACCAAGGGUAAGACAUGCCUGACAGACUGGGUGGUCUUUUAUGAUGGAGUUAUAACGUCAAUGGAUAAAGGAAGAGCAAAUCACAUCAUCUACCUGGACUGGUGCAAAGUACUUGAUAUCCCGGUUGCCAAAUUGGAGAAAAACUGGAUUUGAUGGAUGGACCACUUGCUGGAUAAGGAACUGGCUGUAUGGUUGCACUAAGAGAGAGAGUUGCAGUCAACAGCUCAAUGUCCAAGUGAAGACCAGUGACAAGUGUUGUUCCUCAGGGAUCAGUGCUGGAACUGGUAUUAUUUAGCAUCUCGGUAGGUGAGAUGCGCAGUGGAAUUGAGUGUACAUUCAGCAGGUUUGCAGAUGACACCAAAGUGAGUGGUGCAGUUGUCACGCUAGAGGGAAGGGAUGCUAUCCAAAGGGAUCUGGACAGGCUUGAGAAGUAGGCCCAUGUCAACCUCAUGAAGUUUAACAAAAAAAAAAAAAAAAAAGGAAUCAAGGUAAUUAAUUAUAUCUGUAUUGUCUCUACAUAGAGUUUAGCUACCUCAUUCAUUCUCAUUACAGACAGUUCUUUUAUACAGUAAAUAGAAAACAAUUCAAAUUUCUAUCUGAAUGUAGAUUCAAAACUGGAAGAUGGGGAAAACAUCUGGUACACAGAGGGUUACAGCUAAAUUUGACUUAUUAAAUUGCCUGUCUGAGACUGACAGCUACAGCAGCUUACAGACAGCACUGCUUCCUGGUGAUGGCUUUGAAUUAAAACACCAGAGAAAAUGAGAACUUACAAAGACUGUCCCCAGUAGUCACCACACACUAUCAAUAUAGCAGAGAUCAGGUGCAAGGUGAACUACCACCUUAGUGCACAAACGUAUGUGCUUCUGAGCAUCAGCUGCUGUAGCAGUGGAUCCAGCAACAGAAAUAAGAGAUGGAAAUGACCACCAGUGGAACAACUCCUAACGUCAUAGCAGGCUUUAAUACCUGUCUGCUAUGACUUACUACUGCCAGUAAGAUACCCUUGCCUUAGAUAGUAGGGGUAAGAUCAGAUAUAGUUGCAUCAUUCCAGAUCUCAGAGAGUUUUUAAGCAACUAUAAACAAUCAACAAGCCAAAUAUUCUUCAAUGGGAACAAGUCUGUGCAUUCAGUGCAAAAGGCUUUUGUGUUGUAUCUACUUCACCAGCUGCCAAACAAAAGUCAAGUAGCUCUUAAGCGCUAGGCUGAUAAUGAAACUGCUCUCAGCAUGAGCAAACUGCAGUAAUUCUUAAAGGGCAAAUGAAGUGCUUUGUGGCAGAACAGAAAUGGAACUGCUGUUGAGUUUGGCUGUCUUUUUCAGUUCCAAACUAAGAACAGACUGUAGCCUAGCAGUACAUUUCUGUGUUUGUUCAUCUGAUGAGGUCAGUCAGUUGAAAUUAAUUUUUAUUACUCUAUAUCAAAUAAGAGGAAAUGGGAAUCAUUAAGUUACCUUUCCUAAUCAAUUCC